Molecule: non-coding RNA, 23 nt
Filed under: Cricetulus griseus (Chinese hamster)
Lineage: Eukaryota; Metazoa; Chordata; Mammalia; Rodentia; Cricetidae
Source: RNAcentral
CUGUGUAAGCGCUAUAGAUUUGG